AUGGACGACCACCACCGCCCGUGCAUGCCUCUGGAUUCGUCCAAGUCCGACAAUGUUUUUGUACAAAUACGCUACGGAGACCAAGACCAGCAAGUCCGCAUGGGAGCCCGAACGACUACUUCCACGACGAUGCGAGUACAAGUACGCUCGACGUGUUUUUACCAAGUACCGCGACACCCCGAUCCCUCGGAUCAGUCAAGUUCAUCUACGAAAACAUGUAUGGCCGUCGUCGAAACUGCAAAGUACCUCUACGCAUGGAUAUCACCAAGUACCAUGAUAUCGAUGACAUCCACUAUUACUGUCACCGAGGGUUUCGUCAAGUUUAACUACAUUGGCUACGAACGGUGA
Molecule: ribosomal RNA, 348 nt
Filed under: Triticum aestivum (bread wheat)
Lineage: Eukaryota; Viridiplantae; Streptophyta; Magnoliopsida; Poales; Poaceae
Description: partial small subunit ribosomal RNA
Source: RNAcentral